CUUCAGCGAGCCGAGCAGCAGCGGCCGGUCGGCGGGCCGGUCCUGCCCGUACGUGGCCAGCAGGGCCUGUGCCUC
Molecule: antisense RNA, 75 nt
Filed under: Streptomyces scabiei
Lineage: Bacteria; Bacillati; Actinomycetota; Actinomycetes; Kitasatosporales; Streptomycetaceae
Rfam family: ASpks TB sRNA
Source: RNAcentral